CCCCGCCCCGUCACGUGGGCUCAGAGGGGGAAAUCAAGACAGAGAGUUCAAGUGGCUUGCUGAGACUCAUGUUUCCUGCUGAUGGCCGUGCCCAGAUUCAAGCUCAGUGUAACACCAAACCUCACCCUCCACUACUCUUGAGAAACAGCGAUCCUGGUAAAGGCAUUGGCAGGACCAGCUCUUCUGGUGCUCUAAGGUGCAAUGGAGAACUGUCAGAGGGCACAUGAAGCUUGCUCUGAGAGAACGGAGAUGCUGAGAGGAGCUUCCUGGGGGAGCAGAUCAUCAAUGCAGGACACAAUGAAUAUGUUGGCCCAGAAAAAAUAAAAUACCUGGAAGGCAGUUAGCUCAAGAAAAAGAACCCAGCAUGUUCAAGGGUCUCCAGAAAGCUUAAUAAGGCUGUCAGAAAGGCAACUGUAGAAAGGGACCAAGAAGGAAGUCUGGUUCAAUUCAUGUAACGUCUUAGAAGAAAUAUUGAAAAUUUUUGACUUCAUCCUGAAGACAAUUGGAAGUUUUUAAAAGACCUUGGUAGACAGGCUUCAUAACCACAAUUAUGAUUUUAAAGAGAUCCUACCUGCUACUCCUGGGAAAGCAGAUUGGUGACCCAAGAGAGACAGGAGUCCGCUUGGAAGAAUAUCCUAUUUUCAUUGUUCAGUCACAGACAGGAAAUGAAGCAUGCACUAGAACUCCAGGGAUGGAGAAAGGGGGAUUCUAAGAGCAUUUUAGAAGCAGAAUUGGCAGGAUGGGGUGCCUGGUGUGCGAGGUCAUAAAGGCAGGCAGGGAUCAGGAUGAAUACACAUUCUUACAAAUGCAUGGAAGGAACAGAGGAGGGCGAGCAUUAUUGGGAAAGCAGAGUUUUAGAUGCUUCUGAGAAAUUCAAACAGAGAGAUUCUGAUCUCUACAUAGAUUUGGGGACUCAGACAUAGAUUUGGGCUUGAGAAAUGCACAACAAUGGUAAAUAUGAGGAUAUUAGUGAUUGCUUAGGAACUGAAUGUGCAGAGGUUGGACGGAGCCCCAGAGAACUCCAGCAUUUCACUGCUAUUUGGAGGAGUAUGACCUAGUAAUGAAGAUUAGCUUGAGCAGAGAGAUAGAAAAGAAAAAUCAAAUGUAGAGGUGUCCGUAAUGCCAAAGUAAAUGAUUGUUUCAAGAAAAAAAUACAGACCCUUUCGAAUGGGGCUAUGAGAUAAAAUGAAAUGAGGGUUUUAAAGAUGAUAUUAGCAUUGCUUGCUUUGGAAAGUACACUUCCUAGUAAUAUUUAAGUUAUCAGUGACUUGGCAAAAGCUGUUAGUACAUGUUAGGAAGAGAUGGCUAAAAGGAGGAAGGGAAGUGAGAAAUGAUAAAUAUGGAUAAUUGUGGAAUUUGACAGUAGAAAGUAAAAUAUUAGUAGAAGUAGAAGAGGAGUGACGUUUGAAGCUGAAUACACACACACACACACACACACACACACACACACACACACACCUGUGCACUUAAAAAGAAUAGAUGCACAUAGUUGGCUGAUGAUGGGGUAAAGAGAGAACUAAACAUACUUAGUUCCUUCUGAGGUUUUCAAAAUGAAAGAAAGACUCAGGUAUUGGAGUGGAAUAUUUUUGUAGGUUUUAAGACUAAGAUUGAGGCAAAUUUCAUCUGUUGACUUCUGUUUUUCUGUGAAUUCAGGGGAUUACUUGAGGUUUUCUGCUGAGAUAGAGCAAAAUGUUUCAUAAGCAAAAUCUAUUAUUUCCUACAUGUAUCUUUCUAUGUUCCCAUCAACCAAGAGAAUCAAUACUUCUCUUAUAUCCCCAGUUCUUCACAGCCAAAUCUCAAGGCUCUCCCUAUAAGCAGACACCAAUGCUAAGCCCUUGUGAUGAUGGAAGCCAUUAUUAUGUAUUUCUCGCUAAAACCUGAGAUGGUUUUCUGUUAUCAUUGUCCAUGUUCUCUAUCCUGGAUGAGCUCUGAGUUGCACUAGCUCUUCCUGACUCAUGGUUUGGGGCUCAUGCAGAUCUGGGAUGGUUCUAUAUUUGUGUUCAUUGCUCUUGCCUAGUUGCUUUAUCUGGUCACGAGCAUGAGAAUUAGGUGAGAAAGAAUACCGUUCCCUCUUCAUUUCUAUAUAAUAUUACCCCCGUUUUUUCUUUUAUCUUUUUUUUCCUUUGCAUCAUCUAAAAAGUGUAAGGAGAAGAAAAUGGAAACUUGUGUGGGUAGGCCAAUGAGCAAGUAAAUCACUUUUGGUGUCUUAGAAAUUUUCAGUAUAUGGUGAUUCUACCAACAAAUGCCACAAUUUCCUUAAACCUAUCACUCAUAUGAUAAAAGGAAAAUGUAUGAUAUUUCAAUAGUAUAUCCAAAUGGGGACAUUUCCCUUCCUUUCUAAUAAGUAUACAGUAUUCUAAUAGAAAGUCCAUUAUUUCUCAUUAAUGAACCAAUUAGAAAAUUAUUGCUGGGUUGCAUAGACAAGAGGAACAGUCCUGACCAAUAAUGGCAGGGAAGAAAACCAGGAAAUAUCCUCUCUUUUUGUUCCUACUGUAUUCUUAGAAUAGUGUUUGUUGUCCAUUCAAAUUCUUGAGUUUAUAAUCCAUGUUAUUUAGUAAUUUCAACUACAAUAAGAAACAUAUGAAACAUAUAGCAUAAAGAUUCUUUGUAAAAGAUGAAUUUCAGCUUAGAAAUGUUCAAAGAAUGAUAUGUUAGAGAAAUUACAGUUUUAUAACUCCUAAUCAGGCAGAAGAAUGGUCUUUGAGAAUCAUGUUUGCUUAUUUCCAGAAAUAGGGGAUGAAUCAUGAUAUAUGUAGCAAUGUCUACAUAGGAAGUAUAUGGAAUUCUUUCCUUUACAAGAAUUUACAUACUGAAGUAUGAAUUGCAUUAGGAAUGGAUGCUUAAUCUAAAAAUAAACCAUUUAUGAAACAGAAAAAAAUAAAGAAAAAAUUCAAGAAGUGAUAGACUAUUUCAAUAAGGAGAUAGAGAUCCUGAAGAAAAAUGAGUCAGAAAUCUUCAAAAUGAAGGAAUUUAUAAACCAAAUUAAAAAUUCAAUGGAAAGCAUCACCAACAUACUAGACCACUUGACAGAUGGAGAUUCAGGCAAUGAAGACUUUGUCCCUCUCUUGAAAGGUAUUCGCUUCUGAGUCUCAGGACUUGGUUUCAUGUUAAUUGGGUCUCCCUGUGUCUCCAGAGGCUUGGAGGGUAAUGCUUCACCCUGGCUAGGGGCAACACUUUACUCUUCACCCAGCCCAUCUGUCUUUCUGCGACCCUCCUCCUGCUCCUCACCCACCAUGAUUCCUCUGGCUGCACCUGGGCCCUCUCCUCUAUUUUCUUUAGUCCAGGGAAAGGGAAGUGACUGGGUAUCAUACAUUCUACAGCUUGGAAUACCUGUUCAGGACUGGACCUCCAUAAAUGGGAUCCUUGUGAAUCUGGUAUCUUUGAAGAAGCAGACUGGAUGAGCCAGUUUAGGUGCCAGUGCCAAGAGUUGGUUCAUAACUCAAAAGGUAAAGACACAUUUGCCAAGGUUACUGGGAGAAGAGGUUGAAAAUUUACCCUCUCCCUACCAGGAUGUGCCUAUGUCCAUGAGAGAUGACACUCUGCUUGGUGAAACUGGGGAAUACGUAUAGGAAGAAAGCUAAGGAAAUCACAAUAAAAUAGUUAUUUUGGAUUUGGGACACUGGUGCUGAAGAUAUACUCUUAUGAGAGUAAAAUGAGGAAGAGCACAUUAGUCACCACCUACUCUACAUUACAACAAUGUAUAUAUGUAGCUGUAAAUGAGGAAAAUGAGGACACUGCCAUCUCUUUAUUGUCCUAGCUGAUAGCUUCCUGAAAUUAUGAUUGGCACAAUAUGUUGAAGUCACCCAUGGUACCCUGCGAUGGAAAUCCAUGGGAGAACUCCAAGACCUUCUGAGGGAGUUACGGUGCAGCAGGCCCUUCAUGCAGCAACCUGCACUGGUCCUGAUAAAGAACCAUUCACAGAAGAACUGAAGGACCAUUCUCCAAGCACUUAUGAGGCAGUAUUAUGGAACCCUGGGAUCAUUCCUGAUCUGUUAAUUGGCAUUUGAUUUUUUUUUUCUCAAGCCACACAGGUUAUGGCUGUAUGGGAUAAACGAAAAAGAUGAGAAAGUGAGGUUACAGAGAAUAUAUCUUAGAAGGGGGAGAACUAAAGGGGAAAGAAAAUACAAGAGAUCAAAUGAGGAUAAGCAAGGACAAUAUGCCUUCGUGUUGGAAGGGCAACAAUGGUCUUUGUUCUUUCACAAGGAUAUUUGCCUAGUCUACCCUAUGUUAUGGGAUGGUGUUGGCACCUCUGAGCUGGACAUAAUCUGAAUAAGUACCAAUGUUUUAUUAUUGUAUUGAUGAUGUGGCUUUAACAUCUGUGUCUUUACUUUACCUGAGCUGAGACUGCAGCUCAAAGAGUGUUGGCAACUUCCAAGACGGACGAUGGGGUUGGAGUGUAAACUCCUCCAAGUUGCAAAGACCUGGAGUGUCUCUCAGGUGCUCAGGGGUUAUUUGGUUGUGUCCUGCUGUUGCUCAUAAAAAGCAAAUUUUUCCCAAUUCCCAGACACAGACCUUUCUGGAUGUUGAGAUGUUUUCAUCACUGUACUCCAUAAUUUAGGAUUAAUGUUAAAGACUCUGUAUGUUUUAGUAAAAGCUUGAUCUGGUGGGACUGGAAAUUGGAACAUCUCAAGUACUUCUCUGAACAAAGUCAUUGUAGAGGAAUUACAAGCCUUGGGUAUAUUAGCCCAAGCACACAUCUAUAAAUAUAUUUUCCUGCCCUGAUGGAUUGAAUGGGUCCUUAGGAAAUAUCAGGGCAAUAAAUGAGUUCAACUCUGACAUCUUUGGAAGAGGCAAAGAUAAUGAAAGACAUUUGGGAUCAAUCUCCACAUUGGAACAGACUGUGCUUUGCUAUGGGAAGAGCAACAAUGGACUUUGUUCUUCCAUAUGGUAUUUACGUAGCUUGAUAAUAGGUUAUGGGAUGGCGGUGAUAGCUCUGAUCUUGUGGACAAAACCAUAGGAGCUGCCAGAGGGAACCAAUUGAGUCUGUUGGCCAUGAGAAUGGCAAAAGGGCCUCAAUUAAUUGGGUUGCUAGUCCAUGGGCAAAGAGACUAGACCAAGACAUACAAAUAGGAAAAAAAAAAAAACCUACUAGUAGAGAAUUUUUCAUCGUUGCGUGAGUUUCUCACUUCAUUAUGGUCUAUAACAACUUCAUUGUUGUCAUACUUUUCUUUGCACAAGGACAUCUUGAACAAGAAAUAUGGUAUUGUAAAUGUGGUGGGACACAGGCUGGUACUAUUCUCACUUAGAUUGAUCAGGUUGCUGAUGUGUUGCUGAAUAAUCCAAUUUGUAUGUAUUCACUCCUGUUGCAUAUUACCCUUAGAACUAAGGUAUUUAUAUAACAGACAAAUAUCAUAAUAGAUGUGCAGAAUAAAAUGAUUCCUGGUUGUACAUUGAGGUGCCUCUGUCCUCCUCUUCUCAUCUCCUGUGGCAUCUUCAGUCAGCCACUUUGGUGUAGAGGGAGCACAUGUGAAAACUAGAGCCACAGCUGCAGCUCAUGGACACAGCUGGACAACUGCUCUAUGGAACUGAACAUAAAUGUAUCUUCCUUUAAGGAAACCAAAUAGCAUGACUUCCAUUAUAUGUGGAAAUAAAUAACUAUGACAAAGCAAAAAAAAAAAAAAAAAA
Molecule: long non-coding RNA, 5625 nt
Organism: Ictidomys tridecemlineatus (thirteen-lined ground squirrel)
Lineage: Eukaryota; Metazoa; Chordata; Mammalia; Rodentia; Sciuridae
Source: RefSeq, a predicted model, not a curated record